This 1547-nucleotide ribosomal RNA is filed under the name Escherichia coli. Its description in RNAcentral is "bacterial LSU rRNA". It matches the Rfam family "Bacterial large subunit ribosomal RNA", at positions 711 to 2198 of the family's 2925-position model. Lineage: Bacteria; Pseudomonadati; Pseudomonadota; Gammaproteobacteria; Enterobacterales; Enterobacteriaceae. The record is from RNAcentral.
AGACCCGAAACCCGGUGAUCUAGCCAUGGGCAGGUUGAAGGUUGGGUAACACUAACUGGAGGACCGAACCGACUAAUGUUGAAAAAUUAGCGGAUGACUUGUGGCUGGGGGUGAAAGGCCAAUCAAACCGGGAGAUAGCUGGUUCUCCCCGAAAGCUAUUUAGGUAGCGCCUCGUGAAUUCAUCUCCGGGGGUAGAGCACUGUUUCGGCAAGGGGGUCAUCCCGACUUACCAACCCGAUGCAAACUGCGAAUACCGGAGAAUGUUAUCACGGGAGACACACGGCGGGUGCUAACGUCCGUCGUGAAGAGGGAAACAACCCAGACCGCCAGCUAAGGUCCCAAAGUCAUGGUUAAGUGGGAAACGAUGUGGGACGGCCCAGACAGCNCAUGGUUAAGUGGGAAACGAUGUGGGAAGGCCCAGACAGCCAGGAUGUUGGCUUAGAAGCAGCCAUCAUUUAAAGAAAGCGUAAUAGCUCACUGGUCGAGUCGGCCUGCGCGGAAGAUGUAACGGGGCUAAACCAUGCACCGAAGCUGCGGCAGCGACACUAUGUGUUGUUGGGUAGGGGAGCGUUCUGUAAGCCUGUGAAGGUGUGCUGUGAGGCAUGCUGGAGGUAUCAGAAGUGCGAAUGCUGACAUAAGUAACGAUAAAGCGGGUGAAAAGCCCGCUCGCCGGAAGACCAAGGGUUCCUGUCCAACGUUAAUCGGGGCAGGGUGAGUCGACCCCUAAGGCGAGGCCGAAAGGCGUAGUCGAUGGGAAACAGGUUAAUAUUCCUGUACUUGGUGUUACUGCGAAGGGGGGACGGAGAAGGCUAUGUUGGCCGGGCGACGGUUGUCCCGGUUUAAGCGUGUAGGCUGGUUUUCCAGGCAAAUCCGGAAAAUCAAGGCUGAGGCGUGAUGACGAGGCACUACGGUGCUGAAGCAACAAAUGCCCUGCUUCCAGGAAAAGCCUCUAAGCAUCAGGUAACAUCAAAUCGUACCCCAAACCGACACAGGUGGUCAGGUAGAGAAUACCAAGGCGCUUGAGAGAACUCGGGUGAAGGAACUAGGCAAAAUGGUGCCGUAACUUCGGGAGAAGGCACGCUGAUAUGUAGGUGAAGUCCCUCGCGGAUGGAGCUGAAAUCAGUCGAAGAUACCAGCUGGCUGCAACUGUUUAUUAAAAACACAGCACUGUGCAAACACGAAAGUGGACGUAUACGGUGUGACGCCUGCCCGGUGCCGGAAGGUUAAUUGAUGGGGUUAGCCGCAAGGCGAAGCUCUUGAUCGAAGCCCCGGUAAACGGCGGCCGUAACUAUAACGGUCCUAAGGUAGCGAAAUUCCUUGUCGGGUAAGUUCCGACCUGCACGAAUGGCGUAAUGAUGGCCAGGCUGUCUCCACCCGAGACUCAGUGAAAUUGAACUCGCUGUGAAGAUGCAGUGUACCCGCGGCAAGACGGAAAGACCCCGUGAACCUUUACUAUAGCUUGACACUGAACAUUGAGCCUUGAUGUGUAGGCUAGGUGGGAGGCUUUGAAGUGUGGACGCCAGUCUGCAUGGAGCCGACCUUGAAAU